AUGUACGCAUCCAUGCGCGGCCUCGCAAGCAGAUCAGCCGGGAAGCUUUAGCCGGGCUGGCUGCUGAGAUGAAAUGUGCGGGUGGCAGGCAGGCCGGCGUGGCGUUUUAUGGCUGUUUGCAGGAGGCCGCCUUGGCGUAAGGCCUGUCCGGCCGGGAGAGGCCGGGUGUCCCCCCAGGGGACCCGCUGGAGCCGUGUUUGCCCCUGGGUGCGCGGCACAGCGCGGAGCCAGGGACCAGCAGGGGGGCAGAGCACGAGUCCAACAGCGUUUGCUUGUAAAUGGCUGUCACAGGUUCACACCCUUCCCCAUGAAAUUCCCGGGUGUUCGCCUGGGUUCCAGCGCUGCUCCCUGCUGUGCGGUCUCUCGUUGCCUUCAUAAACAGCUUCCCUGCAAAAAUUCAGUGGCAUUAUUUGCUCCACCCUUUAAAAAGGUGCUGCUUCCUCCACUGCACGGUUUCUUGGUAAGUGGAAAUCAUUAAACUAGUUGAAGAUCCAGCUCCUGCCAGCUCCAGAUAAAAUCGUUAUUAUCAAAUUAAGCAAAGGAUUUGUUUGUUUUGCUUCAGCUCUAAUUCUCCUUUCAUUUAGCAGGGUGUUAUGCAUCAGAUUGCACUUAAAAUUGUAAGCAUACUUGCUAACGUGUUCCAUACGUGACACACAGAAAUCAAAUGACUUCUAAAAAUAUUUGUUACUCUGACACAUAGGGAAUUGACAGAUUAGAUAGAGAAGACAGAGGUUAGCACCAGUGUGUAUGAAUGGAUGAGGGGCUAAGUAGAAGACAAAACACUGGAUUGAAAGGUGAAUUACUGUGAUUUAAAUUUUAGAAGACUUUCUGUAUAAGGAGUGAGUUUAUUUUACUUGCUAGUAAUGAAGUGAGGGAAAAAAGUACAAGUUGGUUGAAGGAAAAUGGAAAUGGCACAGGAUGGAAGUGUGGAGUCAUUGUGCAGAAAAAACUCUAUCUCUGAAUGUUUUGUAAACUACGGUGGGUGAAAUUUAGUAGCUGAAAUGCUACACAGUGGUCUUGAAUCAUAACCCUUGCUCAUAGAUUUUUUUCUGAUAUGAAGAGGAAGAGAAAGAGAAGGAAGAAGAGUGGUUCUUUUGGUGAUAACAUGUGAAUAAGCAUUACCAGGCAGGAGCUGCUCACAGAAAAACCCAGGAACAAACCAAGGACGUGUCGCUGGAGCUAAAGAGACCCUGGACUGGAGGGUCUCAAGAGGACCAAGUAAGACAGGAGGCUUUCUUCUGACUUCUACUUCGAUUUUCUUCCUUAUUCAAAACAGUGUUCUUACCCCUUCCCUCUAGAUUUUACUCCUUUCCCAAGCCUGAGUAUCCUGUGUCCAUCAGCAUCUCUCUCCAGAUCAAAUACUCACUUGCUUCAUUCUCAGAAAAGACCUGCGUAGAAUCCCUUAAAAAACACUAUUCUUCUCUGCCAAUAAAAAGAAAGCCUUUAAA
Parus major (Great Tit) is the source of this 1448-nucleotide long non-coding RNA. RefSeq lists it as uncharacterized. The transcript is spliced from 2 exons. The record is from RefSeq and is a predicted model, not a curated record. NCBI's taxonomy places the organism in Eukaryota, Metazoa, Chordata, Aves, Passeriformes, Paridae.